UAGGUGCUAAUUCCAGUUGUCAGCUCCCAGCUAGAAAUUGCUACAGGUUCUCGGGAUAUACUAAAGAUUAAAGCUUGUCUGUUUUCAGUUUGCACUUCCCUUGUGGUUAGAGGCAGGGAAUCACUUUCUCAUCCUUUUAUGCUCAAAAUCAGAAAAACAUUGGAGACAAUGCUAUUAUGGCCUUCUGUUGAUGGGGAUGAAGUAUCUAAAGCACAGCAUGGGUGCAUUGAUUCCCCGG
Prunus avium (sweet cherry) is the source of this 238-nucleotide non-coding RNA. NCBI's taxonomy places the organism in Eukaryota, Viridiplantae, Streptophyta, Magnoliopsida, Rosales, Rosaceae. The record is from RefSeq and is a predicted model, not a curated record.